GUAAAGAAACUUCCUUUUGGCCAUACUUGUGGGAGUACCAAUUGCAGCAAAGGAAUGGCAAAUAGAGAUUGGCUUGCUGAUAAAGGGAGGGCUGCACUUGAGGAGAAUCCCACGGUGAGUGCAAAACAACUUAGAGAAACUUUGCAAAAGGAGUAUGAUAUUAAGCUUCAGUACACCGAUGUUUGGAAAGGAAGAGCUCGUGCAAAGGAUCAAUUGGAAGGUACAUAUAAGGAGAAUUUUCAGCAGUUGUGGAACUUCAGAGCCGAAUUGUUGGCAGCCAAUCCUGGAAGUAUAUUUGAGAUAGACAUAAAAACAACUACCAACAAAAAGGUUUUUAAUAGGUUGUUCAUUGCCUUCAAGCCAUGCAUUGAUGGAUUUUUGGCAGGGUGCAGACCAUAUUUGGGGGUUGAUGCAACUUUUCUUAGUGGGAAAUAUACCGGACAAUUGGCAGCCACAAUUGGUGUGGAUGGGCAUAGUUGGAUGUUUCCGGUAGCAUUUGGAAUAUUUGAGAAAGAAAAUACAGAAAAUUGGGUAUGGUUCAUGGAGCAGCUGAAAUUGGCCAUUGGAGAGCCACAAGGGCUUGCGAUCCAUAUAGAUGCAUGUAAGGGGUUGGAGAAUGCCGUUUCUAAGGUCUACCCAAAUUGUGAACAUAGAGAAUGCAUGAUGCAUCUAAUGCUUAACUUC
This 684-nucleotide ribosomal RNA is filed under the name Triticum aestivum (bread wheat). RNAcentral's name for it is "partial small subunit ribosomal RNA". The record is from RNAcentral. Lineage: Eukaryota; Viridiplantae; Streptophyta; Magnoliopsida; Poales; Poaceae.